GAUGAAGAACGUAGCGAAAUGCGAUAAGUAAUGUGAAUUGCAGAAUUCAGUGAAUCAUCGAGUCUUUGAACGCACAUUGCGCCCCCUGGUAUUCCGGGGGGCAUGCCUGUCCGAGCGUCAUUGCUGCCCUCAAGCACGGCUUGUGUGUUGGGCCCCCGUCCCCGGUUUCCCCCGGGGACGGGCCCGAAAGGCAGCGGCGGCACCGCGUCCGGUCCUCGAGCGUAUGGGGCUUUGUCACCCGCUCUGUAGGCCCGGCCGGCGCCAGCCGAUACCCAACUUUAUUUCUAAGGUUGACCUCGGAUCAGGUAGGGAUACCCGCUGAACUUAAGCAUAUCAAUAAGCGGAGGA
Molecule: unclassified non-coding RNA, 348 nt
Filed under: soil metagenome
Description: partial contains 5.8S ribosomal RNA, internal transcribed spacer 2, and large subunit ribosomal RNA
Rfam family: 5.8S ribosomal RNA (bases 1-120)
Source: RNAcentral